AGUGGGGAAUUUUGGACAAUGGGCGCAAGCCUGAUCCAGCCAUGCCGCGUGUCUGAAGAAGGCCUUCGGGUUGUAAAGGACUUUUGUCCGGGAGCAAAUCCUAGUGGUUAAUAACCGCUGGGUCUGAGAGUACCGGAAGAAUAAGCACCGGCUAACUACGUGCCAGCAGCCGCGGUAAUACGUAGGGUGCAAGCGUUAAUCGGAAUUACUGGGCGUAAAGCGUGCGCAGGCGGUUGUGCAAGUCUGAUGUGAAAGCCCCGGGCUUAACCUGGGAACGGCAUUGGAGACUGCACGACUAGAGUGCGUCAGAGGGGGGUAGAAUUCCGCGUGUAGCAGUGAAAUGCGUAGAGAUGCGGAGGAAUACCGAUGGCGAAGGCAGCCCCCUGGGAUGGCACUGACGCUCAUGCACGAAAGCGUGGGGAGCAAACAGGAUUAGAUACCCUGGUAGUCCACGCCCUAAACGAUGUCAACUAGCUGUUGGGGGUUUGAAUCCUUGGUAACGUAGCUAACGCGAGAAGUUGACCGCCUGGGGAGUACGG
RNAcentral lists this ribosomal RNA (539 nucleotides) under uncultured bacterium. RNAcentral's name for it is "bacterial SSU rRNA". It matches the Rfam family "Bacterial small subunit ribosomal RNA", at positions 353 to 885 of the family's 1533-position model. The record is from RNAcentral.